This 301-nucleotide ribosomal RNA is filed under the name uncultured bacterium. Its description in RNAcentral is "partial 16S ribosomal RNA". It matches the Rfam family "Bacterial small subunit ribosomal RNA", at positions 509 to 807 of the family's 1533-position model. The record is from RNAcentral.
CAGCCGCCGCGGUAAUACGUAGGGUGCAAGCGUUAAUCGGAAUUACUGGGCGUAAAGCGUGCGUAGGCGGUUUGUUAAGUCUGUUGUGAAAUCCCCGGGCUCAACCUGGGAAUGGCAAUGGAUACUGGCAAGCUAGAGUGUGUCAGAGGAUGGUGGAAUUCCCGGUGUAGCGGUGAAAUGCGUAGAGAUCGGGAGGAACAUCAGUGGCGAAGGCGACUAUCUGGGCCAACACUGACACUGAGACACGAAAGCGUGGGGAGCAAACAGGAUUAGAUACCCCCGUAGUCCCUGUCUCUUAUAC